GCCCCCACCGGCUCUGUAUUUAAGUGAGCCCGCGCAGCCCCGCCCCUGCGCGUCCCGCCCCGCGCGCGCCACCGCGCCUGCGUGCCAGGACCGUUGCGGCGGGGGAGGGGCCUCGGCCGCGUGGCGUCCAGUGGUCCGCGGUACCUGCGGGCUGGGGCUGCCGCUUCCAAACGCGGGAUGGAGGUGGCCGGCUAAAAUGUCAGCUAAGAGGCAAAGACCCCUCCCUGCCUGUUUAUAAACACCACCACUUUCCCAUCUCCCAUAAAUGCCACCUCCAGGAGAGGAGGUCCAACUACGUACAUCCUCACAAAGUUGCACCCGGGUCAGGAAAUGCCUGGCUGCACCGCAGCGAUUGCAGUCUCCGCAGUGACUGACGCCCAGAGCUCGCUCAUGAAGUGCGGGGAGACACGAAGUAAUUACAUGAGGUGAGGCAUGAAUCAGAAUUAACUGAGGAGGAAGGAGGAGGAUGCCUGGAACUGACUCACUGAAGGGAGGAAAAAACUGCACAGAAAACUGACUCUCCAACAAUGCUCUCUGCCAAAGCCACUGUGACAGUAUAUUGUGUAGGAAAAGAUACCCUGGGCCAGAAGACAACACAUCUGGGUUCUGGUGGCAGCAUCUUUACUCUCUUCAUCUGUUUUCUUAUUUCUGAAAUAUAGGUUCUCCUUUGUAACUAAACCGCUCUCUCAAAUUGGUGGUAGUGAAGUCCAUUCACUUUGUGACGGUCCAGUGAUCUGGAAGGAAGCCUGGAACUCCUUGUGGCCUGAAUGUACUCAUAACCUCUCCCCUUGUGAGUCCCUGCCACAGUGGUGACAGAGAAACCACCCUGCAGGUCACUAGAAGGUGUGCAGUUGCUCCCCAUUACAGACUCCUAGAGAGACAGGUAUGAACCGUCGGUGGCCCUGAAACUCCCCUGCAGUGUUCUUCUACUAAAUCCUCUCUGACUAUAUGUGACUUGACCUGGAAGGUCCCCUUUUGUUUUGAGGACCUUACUGACUGUCAUUUCCAACCCUUCCUUCAGCUAACCUAUGUCAUAGCACCUGUGCCUUAAUAAUGAGUAAUGUAUGAGUCUGUCUCCCUUACUAGCCUAGAUAAGAAGCUCAAUAAAUGUGUAUGCAGUGGAUAAAGGAAUGCAUGAACAAAACAAUUCCCAUCCUUGAUAGUGAUGUUCAGGAUUUGCCCAAGACCCAAGUUUUCAUAUAUCUCACAAAUACUUUAACUCCUUCAAAAUUUUGGAACCUGUCCUACUUCCCCCACCAGGAGGGGCUCCCUCAUGCCUACUUAUCACUGUCAUGCAUUCUUCCUGAAGCUCUACAUAUGUUAUCUAAUCUUCACUACAACCCUGAGGGCUGGUUGAGGACACCUAAAACUCAGAGUUAUAAAGCCACUAGCCCAAGACUCAAUAUGGGGAGCAAAUGGUUUGGAUUCCAGGUUUGUCUGACUCCAAAGCCCAGUGCUCUUCCCACCAUACUACAUUGUCUCCAGAAAGAGGACUGGCAGGUGGUGAGAUCUGUCACCUGGUUGUCCCAUCGUCUCAGGUGCGUGUGAGUAGAACUCCAAGGCUUUCACCAAUAGGUAUCACCGUUUUGAGGCAUGAGAGCAGGUGGGUGGUAGAGUCUGUUUUGAAUGUGGCAGAAGAGCUUGAAAUGUCACCACCAGCUGUCAUGGAUGUUUAAAUUUCUUCUGGCUCAAGGGAUUGUUCCCCAUUAAAGCAAUUCAAUCUAUCUGGGAGGAGGAGGGCAUCUGCAGUAAGUCAUUUACAUCUUGUAUGUCUUAUCAAUUCAAGCCCAAAUGACAUAGGUUUGCAAAGUGACAUAUAUGUGACACAUAUGUCAGCCUAAAGAAAGAGGUAAACUGAGGCAAGCUCAAAGGACCAGAAAUUGAGUUUAUUUGGGAAUAGGGGAGGAAUUGCAAUUUGGAAAUUCAUGCUGUAGCGAGCUAUAAGGGUUUGGGGUGGACUUGUGAACAAGGAAUGCAAAGAUGGGAAAGUCUAGCCAGAGUCCGGGUGGUAUGUUCAUUGGCUGGAGGAUGGGGAGAGAUUCUUGUUGGAUGUUCACUGAUGAGGAGAUAAGCCCCAUCUUCUGUAAAUCAGCUGUUUGUGGGAAAUCAGUGUCUCAGUUCUUAAGUUCUGUUCUUCUGAGGGCAUGUGCAUGAGAUUCCUCAUAUAAUAUCCUCCAGUUCAACUUGAGGUUGCAGUCCUUUCCCAUGGUGUAGUUAUAUAUAGAGAGAAAUGUAUAUUAAUUAACAUUAAUAAACAUAUUCUUUCACAUAAUGUGGUUCUAGAGAGAUAAUUAAAUAUAUAUUAAUAUCAAUAAAAUAUUUUUUAAUUAAGACAGCCUCUUGGUAUCAUUCUCCUGGAUAUGUGUUAUGAGGAGAUGUGUUAAA
Long non-coding RNA from Neofelis nebulosa (Clouded leopard), 2385 nucleotides. RefSeq lists it as uncharacterized. The transcript is spliced from 4 exons. The record is from RefSeq and is a predicted model, not a curated record. Lineage: Eukaryota; Metazoa; Chordata; Mammalia; Carnivora; Felidae.